GACGAACGCUGGCGGCGUGCUUAACACAUGCAAGUCGAACGGAAAGGCCCUGCUUUUGUGGGGUGCUCGAGUGGCGAACGGGUGAGUAACACGUGAGUAACCUGCCCUUGACUUUGGGAUAACUUCAGGAAACUGGGGCUAAUACCGGAUAGGAGCUCCUGCUGCAUGGUGGGGGUUGGAAAGUUUCGGCGGUUGGGGAUGGACUCGCGGCUUAUCAGCUUGUUGGCGGGGUAGUGGCUUACCAAGGCUUUGACGGGUAGCCGGCCUGAGGGGGUGACCGGCCACAUUGGGACUGAGAUACGGCCCAGACUCCUACGGGAGGCAGCAGUGGGGAAUAUUGCACAAUGGGCGGAAGCCUGAUGCAGCAACGCCGCGUGCGGGAUGACGGCCUUCGGGUUGUAAACCGCUGUCGCCUGUGACGAAGCGUGAGUGACGGUAAUGGGUAAAGAAGCACCGGCUAACUACGUG
This 468-nucleotide ribosomal RNA is filed under the name uncultured bacterium. Its description in RNAcentral is "partial 16S ribosomal RNA". It matches the Rfam family "Bacterial small subunit ribosomal RNA", at positions 28 to 507 of the family's 1533-position model. The record is from RNAcentral.